RNAcentral lists this ribosomal RNA (471 nucleotides) under uncultured bacterium. RNAcentral's name for it is "partial 16S ribosomal RNA". The record is from RNAcentral.
CACGUAGUUAGCCGGUGCUUAUUCAUAAGUUACCGUCAUAUUCUUCGCUUAUAAAAGCAGUUUACGACCCGAGGGCCUUCAUCCUGCACGCGGCGUUGCUCCAUCAGGCUUUCGCCCAUUGUGGAAGAUUCCUCACUGCUGCCUCCCGUAGGAGUCUGGACCGUGUCUCAGUUCCAGUCUGGCUGGUCAUCCUCUCAGACCAGCUAACGAUCGUAGACUUGGUGAGCCAUUACCUCACCAACAAUCUAAUCGUACGCAGGCCACUCCCAAAGCGGAUAAAUCCUUUAAUCCGAAGAUCAUAUGCGGUAUUAGACUCCAUUUCUGGAGCUUAUCCCUCACUUUGGGGCAUGUUCCCACGUGUUACUCAGCCGUUCGCCGCUCGUCAGCAGGUAAUAAAUUACCCCUGUUACCGCUCGACUUGCAUGUGUUAGGCACGCCGCCAGCAUUCAUCCUGAGCCAGGAUCAAACUCU